This 95-nucleotide ribosomal RNA is filed under the name uncultured bacterium. RNAcentral's name for it is "partial 16S ribosomal RNA". It matches the Rfam family "Bacterial small subunit ribosomal RNA", at positions 1379 to 1482 of the family's 1533-position model. The record is from RNAcentral.
CCUUGUACACACCGCCCGUCAAGCCAUGAGAGUCGGGAGGACCUGAAGACAGUUGCUGUGAGGCGCUGUUUAGGGUUAAACCGAUGAUUAGGGCU